This 279-nucleotide ribosomal RNA is filed under the name uncultured bacterium. RNAcentral describes it as "partial 16S ribosomal RNA". It matches the Rfam family "Bacterial small subunit ribosomal RNA", at positions 506 to 784 of the family's 1533-position model. The record is from RNAcentral.
UGCCAGCCGCCGCGGUAAUACGGAGGGUGCAAGCGUUAAUCGGAAUUACUGGGCGUAAAGCGCGCGUAGGUGGUUUGAUAAGUCAGAUGUGAAAGCCCCGGGCUUAACCUGGGAACUGCAUUUGAAACUGUCAAACUAGGGUGUAGUAGAGGGAAGUGGAAUUCCGAGUGUAGCGGUGAAAUGCGUAGAUAUUCGGAGGAACACCAGUGGCGAAGGCGACUUCCUGGACUAACACUGACACUGAGGUGCGAAAGCGUGGGGAGCAAACAGGAUUAGAUA